GAGGGUAUAGCUCAGUGGUAGAGCACGUGUUUAGCAUGCAUGAGGUCCUAGUUUCAACCCCCAGUACCUCCA
Molecule: transfer RNA, 72 nt
Filed under: Camelus bactrianus (Bactrian camel)
Lineage: Eukaryota; Metazoa; Chordata; Mammalia; Artiodactyla; Camelidae
Also listed under: 2 other names
Rfam family: tRNA
About the family: Transfer RNA (tRNA) molecules are approximately 80 nucleotides in length. Their secondary structure includes four short double-helical elements and three loops (D, anti-codon, and T loops). Further hydrogen bonds mediate the characteristic L-shaped molecular structure. tRNAs have two regions of fundamental functional importance: the anti-codon, which is responsible for specific mRNA codon recognition, and the 3' end, to which the tRNAs corresponding amino acid is attached (by aminoacyl-tRNA synthetases). tRNAs cope with the degeneracy of the genetic code in two manners: having more than one tRNA (with a specific anti-codon) for a particular amino acid; and 'wobble' base-pairing, i.e. permitting non-standard base-pairing at the 3rd anti-codon position.
Source: Rfam by way of RNAcentral